GACGAACGCUGGCGGCGUGCUUAACACAUGCAAGUCGAACGGAAAGGCCCUGCUUUUGUGGGGUGCUCGAGUGGCGAACGGGUGAGUAACACGUGAGUAACCUGCCCUUGACUUUGGGAUAACUUCAGGAAACUGGGGCUAAUACCGGAUAGGAGCUCCUGCUGCAUGGUGGGGGUUGGAAAGUUUCGGCGGUUGGGGAUGGACUCGCGGCUUAUCAGCUUGUUGGUGGGGUAGUGGCUUACCAAGGCUUUGACGGGUAGCCGGCCUGAGAGGGUGACCGGCCAGAUUGGGAGUGAUGUCCGGCCCGGACUCCGACGGGGGGGAGAAGGGGGAAAUUUUGAAAAGGGGGGGGAAGCCUGAGGCAGCACCGCCGGGUGGGGGAGGGCGGCUUUCGGGUUGAAAACCGUUUUCGCCGGGGAAGAAGGGGGGGUGACGGUAAGGGGUAAAGAAGCGCCGGCUACCUAGGUG
RNAcentral lists this ribosomal RNA (468 nucleotides) under uncultured bacterium. Its description in RNAcentral is "partial 16S ribosomal RNA". It matches the Rfam family "Bacterial small subunit ribosomal RNA", at positions 28 to 507 of the family's 1533-position model. The record is from RNAcentral.